This 465-nucleotide ribosomal RNA is filed under the name uncultured bacterium. RNAcentral describes it as "partial 16S ribosomal RNA". It matches the Rfam family "Bacterial small subunit ribosomal RNA", at positions 28 to 507 of the family's 1533-position model. The record is from RNAcentral.
GAUGAACGCUGGCGGCGUGCUUAACACAUGCAAGUCGAACGGAAAGGCCCAAGCUUGCUUGGGUACUCGAGUGGCGAACGGGUGAGUAACACGUGGGUGAUCUGCCCUGCACUUCGGGAUAAGCCUGGGAAACUGGGUCUAAUACCGGAUAGGACCACAUUUUGGAUGGUGUGGUGGAAAGUUUUUCGGUGUGGGAUGAGCUCGCGGCCUAUCAGCUUGUUGGUGGGGUAAUGGCCUACCAAGGCGUCGACGGGUAGCCGGCCUGAGAGGGUGUACGGCCACAUUGGGACUGAGAGACGGCCCAGACUCCUACGGGAGGCAGCAGUGGGGAAUAUUACACAAUGGGCGCGAGCCUGAUGCAGCGACGCCGCGUGGGGGAUGACGGCCUUCGGGUUGUAAACUCCUUUCGCUAGGGACGAAGCGCAAGUGACGGUACCGGGAGAAGAAGCACCGGCUAACUACGUG